CCUACGGGGGGCAGCAGUGAGGAAUAUUGGUCAAUGGACGAGAGUCUGAACCAGCCAAGUAGCGUGAAGGAUGACUGCCCUAUGGGUUGUAAACUUCUUUUAUAUGGGAAUAAAACGUUCCACGUGUGGGCUUUUGUAUGUACCAUAUGAAUAAGGAUCGGCUAACUCCGUGCCAGCAGCCGCGGUAAUACGGAGGAUCCGAGCGUUGUCCGGAUUUAUUGGGUUUAAAGGGAGCGUAGAUGGGUUGUUAAGUCAGUUGUGAAAGUUUGCGGCUCAACCGUAAAAUUGCAAUUGAUACUGGCAGUCUUGAGUACAGUAGAGGUAGGCGGAAUUCGUGGUGUAGCGGUGAAAUGCUUAGAUAUCACGAAGAACUCCGAUUGCGAAGGCAGCUUACUAAACUGACACUGACAUUGAGGCUCGAAAGUGUGGGUAUCAAACAGGAUUAGAUACCCCAGUAGUC
RNAcentral lists this ribosomal RNA (460 nucleotides) under uncultured bacterium. RNAcentral describes it as "partial 16S ribosomal RNA". It matches the Rfam family "Bacterial small subunit ribosomal RNA", at positions 338 to 795 of the family's 1533-position model. The record is from RNAcentral.